This 253-nucleotide ribosomal RNA is filed under the name uncultured bacterium. RNAcentral describes it as "partial 16S ribosomal RNA". It matches the Rfam family "Bacterial small subunit ribosomal RNA", at positions 524 to 776 of the family's 1533-position model. The record is from RNAcentral.
UACGUAGGUGGCAAGCGUUGUCCGGAUUUACUGGGCGUAAAGAGCGCGCAGGCGGUCGUUCAAGUCGCGUGUGAAAGCUCCCGGCUCAACUGGGGAGGGUCACGCGAUACUGAUCGACUCGAAGGCAGGAGAGGGUAGUGGAAUUCCCGGUGUAGUGGUGAAAUGCGUAGAUAUCGGGAGGAACACCAGUGGCGAAAGCGGCUUCCUGGUCCAGCACCGACGUUCAGGCACGAAAGCGUGGGGAGCAAACAGG